RNAcentral lists this ribosomal RNA (372 nucleotides) under uncultured organism. Its description in RNAcentral is "bacterial SSU rRNA". It matches the Rfam family "Bacterial small subunit ribosomal RNA", at positions 526 to 896 of the family's 1533-position model. The record is from RNAcentral.
CAGAGGGUGCGAGCGUUGUCCGGAAUCACUGGGCGUAAAGGGCGCGUAGGCGGCUUUUCAAGCGUGCGGUGAAAGCUCGGGGCUUAACUCCGAGUCUGCCGUGCGAACUGGGAGGCUUGAGUCUGGUAGAGGUCGAUGGAAUUCCGGGUGUAGCGGUGGAAUGCGUAGAGAUCCGGAAGAACACCGGUGGCGAAGGCGGUCGACUGGGCCAGAACUGACGCUGAGGCGCGACAGCGUGGGGAGCAAACAGGAUUAGAUACCCUGGUAGUCCACGCCGUAAACGAUGGGCACUAGGUCCUUGGGGGAGCGACCCCUUGAGGGCCGGCGCUAACGCAUUAAGUGCCCCGCCUGGGGAGUACGGCCGCAAGGCUG